RNAcentral lists this ribosomal RNA (423 nucleotides) under uncultured bacterium. RNAcentral describes it as "bacterial SSU rRNA". It matches the Rfam family "Bacterial small subunit ribosomal RNA", at positions 207 to 622 of the family's 1533-position model. The record is from RNAcentral.
AAGACCUUGCGCUUUUGGAGCGGCCGAUGUCUGAUUAGCUAGUUGGUGGGGUAAUGGCCUACCAAAGCUUCGACCAGUAGCUGGUCUGAGAGGACGGCCAGCCACACUGGGACUGAGACACGGCCCAGACUCCUACGGGAGGCAGCAGUGGGGAAUUUUGGACAAUGGGCGCAAGCCUGAUCCAGCCAUGCCGCGUGAGUGAAGAAGGCCUUCGGGUUGUAAAGCUCUUUCAGCCGGGAAGAAAAGGCUGCGACUAAUAAUCGCAGUUCAUGACGGUACCGGAAGAAGAAGCACCGGCUAACUACGUGCCAGCAGCCGCGGUAAUACGUAGGGUGCGAGCGUUAAUCGGAAUUACUGGGCGUAAAGGGUGCGCAGGCGGUUUUGUAAGUCAGAUGUGAAAUCCCCGGGCUUAACCUGGGAACU